Molecule: non-coding RNA, 72 nt
Organism: Scenedesmus sp. NREL 46B-D3
Lineage: Eukaryota; Viridiplantae; Chlorophyta; Chlorophyceae; Sphaeropleales; Scenedesmaceae
Source: the annotation of a GenBank genome assembly
GGUUGAAAUAGGGUGAUGGCAGCACGCCCGCAUUGUGUGCUGGAGACUUAGGUUCGAACCCUGGUCCAACCG